GGAACUUGGUACUGUAUGAUGAAGACAUAUUUAUGAAGGACUGGAUUUCACAGCGUCCGGAUGAAGCUUUUGGCAACUCACCAAUGGCUAGUGCCUCAGUUGGUGGUUUAUAUUCCACGCCAAAUGUACAGUCUUUUUGGUCUUUUGAAUAAAUAAAGAAAAAGGGAAAAAUUGGGGAUAGAGUACAAGGAACUCGAAUACACCCUCUUGUUACUGAAGAGAAAGUAGCCUCUUUUGGGGAGGAGAGUUUAGAAUGCUGCACUUGUUGCAUCUUCCUUCUUUUCUUUUGAAAGGAAGAGUUACAUUAGCAUGAUAGGGAUACAUGUUUCGACACAUGGCUCUUAAUCAGGUGACAAUUAAUUAUGAUACGGCUGAGUACUUCUCUUUUCAUCUUUUUGACAGAGAAGGACAAACACUGAUAUAGAUGACCAUAGC
Molecule: unclassified non-coding RNA, 435 nt
Filed under: Hevea brasiliensis (rubber tree)
Lineage: Eukaryota; Viridiplantae; Streptophyta; Magnoliopsida; Malpighiales; Euphorbiaceae
Source: RNAcentral